Molecule: long non-coding RNA, 436 nt
Organism: Arabidopsis thaliana (thale cress)
Lineage: Eukaryota; Viridiplantae; Streptophyta; Magnoliopsida; Brassicales; Brassicaceae
Product: other RNA
Exons: 1
Source: RefSeq
AACAACUUCCUUCCCUUCAUUUCAAAAUAAAGAAAGAAAAAAAACAUUACCCUUCCAUUCACAUGGUGAAAUCUUCUUCUAAUAUUUUGUUGGUGGCUAAGUUUUCUCUCUUUUUUCUUUAGACAUCACCAUAUUUCUUUUUAUAUUGGUGCAGAAACUAAAUAUGUUACCACCACUCUUUUUAUAAAGUAUACUUUUUGAUAAUUCUAAACAAUAUACUUAUAUACUAAACACAACAAUUCAUCAAAUCCAUGUAAACGCAUAUACUAUUUCAUCUAUGUGUUGUAGGCUGGUGCUUUAGGGUCCUACCUUCGUUACCACCCAUCUUGGUUCUGUGUGAACGAAGACGAAACUCUUUGGCACGUGGGAAAAAGCUUCGGUGCACGUGUCUCGUAUGAGUUUGUUCUUUUCUUAACCACACACACACAACACCGUU